GCCUGGGUGGCUCAGUCGGUUAAGCAUCCGACUUCAGCUUGGGUCAUGAUCUUACCACCUGUGAGUUCAAGUCCCACAUCAGGCU
This 85-nucleotide transfer RNA is filed under the name Felis catus (domestic cat). It matches the Rfam family "tRNA". From Rfam's summary of the family: Transfer RNA (tRNA) molecules are approximately 80 nucleotides in length. The record is from Rfam by way of RNAcentral. Lineage: Eukaryota; Metazoa; Chordata; Mammalia; Carnivora; Felidae.